UACGGAGGGUGCAAGCGUUAUCCGGAUUCACUGGGUUUAAAGGGAGCGUAGGAGGGCAGGUAAGUCAGUGGUGAAAUCUUCGAGCUUAACUCGGAAACUGCCGUUGAUACUAUCUGUCUUGAAUACCGUGGAGAUGAGCGGAAUAUGUCAUGUAGCGGUGAAAUGCUUAGAUAUGACAUAGAACACCAAUUGCGAAGGCAGCUCGUUACACGAAUAUUGACUCUGAGGCACGAAAGCGUGGGGAUCAAACAGG
Molecule: ribosomal RNA, 253 nt
Filed under: uncultured bacterium
Lineage: Bacteria
Description: partial 16S ribosomal RNA
Rfam family: Bacterial small subunit ribosomal RNA
Source: RNAcentral